UGAAUUCCAUUCUUUUGGUUGACAAAC
RNAcentral lists this non-coding RNA (27 nucleotides) under Mus musculus (house mouse). Lineage: Eukaryota; Metazoa; Chordata; Mammalia; Rodentia; Muridae. The record is from RNAcentral.